AGAAUUGAUCUGGUCAGAUUGAACGCUGGCGGCGUGCCUAACACGUGCAAGUCGAACGAGAAAGUCCCUCGGGGGCGAGUACAGUGGCGCACGGGUGAGUAACGCGUGGAUAAUCUACCCAAAGGUCUGGAAUAGCAGUUGGAAACGACUGAUAAUACCAGAUGUACUGGCAACGGGAAAGGUGGCCUCUGCUUGCAAGCUACUGCCUUUGGAUGAGUCCGCGUCUCAUUAGCUAGACGGUAGGGUAACGGCCUACCGUGGCAACGAUGAGUAGCAGGCCUGAGAGGGUGGCCUGCCACACUGGGACUGGAACACGGCCCAGACUCCUACGGGAGGCAGCAGUGGGGAAUAUUGCGCAAUGGGGGAAACCCUGACGCAGCGACGCCGCGUGGAGGAUUGAAGGCUUUCGGGUCGUAAACUCCUGUCAAGAGGGAAGAAACCUGUGAAGAGUAACAUGCUUCGCAAUUGACGGUACCUCUAGAGGAAGCACCGGCUAAUUCCGUGCCAGCCGCCGC
This 515-nucleotide ribosomal RNA is filed under the name uncultured bacterium. RNAcentral's name for it is "bacterial SSU rRNA". It matches the Rfam family "Bacterial small subunit ribosomal RNA", at positions 1 to 518 of the family's 1533-position model. The record is from RNAcentral.